RNAcentral lists this ribosomal RNA (214 nucleotides) under uncultured bacterium. RNAcentral describes it as "partial 16S ribosomal RNA". The stretch from base 3 to 185 matches the Rfam family "Bacterial small subunit ribosomal RNA", at positions 570 to 751 of the family's 1533-position model. The record is from RNAcentral.
UGCGUAGGUGGGUAGGUAAGUCAGUGGUGAAAUCCCCCGAGCUUAACUUGGGAACUGCCGUUGAUACUAUCUAUCUUGAAUAUCGAGUAGGUAAGCGGAAUAUGUCAUGUAGCGGUGAAAUGCUUAGAUAUGACAUAGAACACCAAUUGCGAAGGCAGCUUACUUCAAGAUUAUUGACACUGAGGACACCGAAAGGACUUGGGGAAUCGAAACA